UCUUUUACGUCGGCCUUCGCGAGCGUCUGGGCGGGUGGUAGGAACAAUGGCGCUGUCUUCAGUGGCACAGUGGAGCAGCUCUGAAGAUGCAAAGAUACACGAAAAAACUUCCAGAACAUCUGGGAGAAUAUUUAAUGGAAAAUCGCUUGGUUAAAACCUGACACUUUUAACAGUGAACAGCGUUCUGAGUGUGGACGAGUAGCCAGUGAAGAUAAUGAAUGUCGAAUGUGACUGACUAGCAGCUUCAUUUUGAAUGAGGGUCGCUGUCUGCCCAUUGAUAGAGGCCAGAUUGUCUUGGAAGUUCCAAAGUUGCAACGAUUUCUGGCUAGUGCCACGAGGUUUACUUGACUGUUGUGUGAAAAGCUGAUAAGAAAACCAUCCAGAAAAAAGCUCUUCGUUUUACAAACAUGAAAAUAAAACAUGUAAUUUUGGAUUAUGUUCCUUUUUGUUAUUACUUUUAAAUAGGUCCUGAAAUAACAUGGGGAGCAUUAAAUGGAAAAUCCACUAACCAGCCUUGUAAUCAAAUUACUGUGAGUGAAUGUUUCGGGUUUGUGCAGGGUACAAUGUAAGGGUUUUUGGAUCAGUGUAAGAGUGGAGAGACAGGAAUUAGAAGUAAUUGUUACUAAGCAAAUCAUGGAAUAUUUAGUUUUGAUGUAACUAUAAUUUUGAAAGCCUGGAUGCUUAAGUUGAGAAAUGGGGGAAUGAGAUACAGAAAAUAAGGAGCACAAUAGAAUAAUAAUAGCAGUUUAUUAAGUAUGGUCAUGAGGGAAGGUUACUGAUAAAACAAUCUGGUAAAGACAUUCAGGCUUGCUAAAAUCUAGGAAGAGGUCAUUUGGCAGGAUGGGUUACAUAAUGCUAUCUGAUACUACCAAAUAAAAUGAGAGAGAAGCCUUAGGCAUGUAACGUUUGGAGAUAGAAAAUGUACCUUCACUAUGAAGGUAGUGUGUGUAAGAUGGCAGUUGAAAGCAUUGCUUGUGUUUAUGUUUAUACCCUUGAUCUCUGAUGCCCUUACCUACCGUACUUAAAACUCUGUUAAUCAUUGUCUUUCUCCCCCUCCCACAACUUCUGCAUAAAAUUUUAAGAUCUGUGUUUCAUUAGUUCAAGAGUGCCUAGAAUAGGGCCAGGCACUGUUAUACAGUAUGUGGUAAAAGACUAUUGAGAUUCCAGUUUUCAAGGAAGAGUGCCAUUACCGUUUUGUUAAAGCUGGCAAACAAGACAAAGUUGUGAAAUAGACUGGUUGCUUUGGAGCCCUCUGACCGCUUUUCCUGUAGCUCCUUCUACCUCCCUUGCCUCCCAAUAGAUUUUUUAAUAUGUCACAUUAUCUAUCGAAAUUAGUACUCCACAUUUAUAUGCACUGGCUUGUGCUAGGCUCUGCCAAGACUCCUGAAAUAAAACCGUUUUGUCAACAGUGGCACAAGAUGCCAAGGAAAAGUCAAGCUAUGAAGGAUUCUUGAAAAUAGAACAAGUGGAUUUGAGUCUAAACCAGCACAGAUGUUGGGACAAUAGGCCUAAGAAAUAACUGAGCAAAGACAGUAUGGUUCAGAGUCUGAGACAAAUAUUGAGGAUUUGGGUACCAACAGGGUGGAUAGGUGUAGGACAGAAAACUGAUGUUAUAAAUACCCUUAAGAUUCUUGAGCAAGGAAGUUACAAAUGUAAGACUAUUCCUGUAAUGAGAGUCAGAUCCAAAAAGGUUUAAUUUGAAUGGAAUUGAACUUGAAAGUUCAGUUUCAAUUACUGACUCCUUGAUGGCAAUUUCUAAUCACACAGGAGGCUGUUAGUCUGUCAUAGCCUCCUAAAAUCUCAGGCGAUAUUGGUUAAGAUCAGUUUCCUAAGUUUACCCUCCAGAGCAUAGCUGCUGCUUGGGACCAGGUGCAGUGACUCAUGCCUGUAAUCCCAGCACUCUGCUUGAGCCCAGGAAGAGACCAGCCUGGAAACAGCAAGUUGUCAUCUCUAUAAAUAAGUAAAACUGGGUGUGGUAACAUGCGCUUGUUCCAGCUACUCGGGAGGCUGAGAUAGGAGGAUCACUUGAACCUAGGAGGUUGAAGCUACAAUCAGCCAUGAUUGCACCUCUGUCUUCUAUCCUGGGCAACAGACCAGGCUAAAAAAAAAAAAAAUCCUUAAGGAGCUUGACUAUAAUAGACUGGGAUAUGCUUGAUUCUGAUUGGUUUCAGAAGUUGAAAGAUAAUUUACGUGUCUGACUUUAGUGACUUCAGCCAACAGGAAUUUUUCCUCUGCCUUACACCAGGCUUCCAGGUAAUCUUAAAAUACAGUAAGCUCAAACCUACCAUUUGGUGCUUUCUAAAAUUAGUUCUAUUGCCAGAAACCCAAUAUCCACUGUGCUUGGCUCCCCAGUCAAGUGUCCUGUGAACUAACAUCAAUCCUCACUGCCCUGUGUAUAUGAAAGAGCUUUCAGCUGUUUUCAUGGUUUUUCUAACAGUUCCCCAGUUGGGAUUAGAGCCUUUGUUUGAAUCAGCCUACUAGAAUAACCUGCUUAUCUUUUGCCAGUCCUUUAAUAGGAGUGGGACCCUCCUUCCUGCCUUUUCAAAAGCUUGGUUCUGGAUCCAAACAAUACUUAUAGUACUUAGUUAUAGGUAUAUAUUAGUAUACAUGACUUAACUGUCUGAAUAUUGCCACUGCCUCUGAUCUUACUCCAUCCUGUAGAGUAACAUCUUGUAGAGAGCAUCUUGGGGCAGAAGAGGAUACAUUUUCAGUAUGAGAACCAGACUCCUUGUCUUACUCUCAUGAGUCCUGGUCUCCUCCUGGUACUACUAUUCCACUGCUGAGGUCUCAGCAUGCCAUAUAGCUGAGUUUGUCAGAGUUAAUGAGGGUUUAAUCAGAAUCCCAAAUCAAGUACAGUCCAGUCCAACCUAUUUGAGAACUUUAUCUUUCUUGUUACUUCAUUUAUUAUAGUUCACUUCAAAAGAGCAAUGGAAAAGGCACUUCAGAAUAUGCAAAAAAUGUAUCAUUUGAAGGCAAUAAUUUACAAAUAUGCAUUACUUCACUGAGAUCAGGAAACUUUUGUCCUUGCCUCCUGUAGUGAAUAUAACUGAUGUACAAAAAUGUGUACAUUUAAAAAGUAUACAAUUUGAUGGGUUUUUCAUAGGAAUAUACUCAUGAAACCAUCAACAUAAUCAAGAUAAUGACUAUAUCCAUCACUCCCAAAAAUAUUCUAUUGUUGGCUUGAUUUUGAACAUGUUAAGUUUAAAUAGCACAUGUUAUUCAAAUUGGGAUUUUUGAGUAGGCAGUUAGAUAUAGAGGUCCACAGUUCAGAGGAGAGGUCUGACUAAAAUAAAAUUGGGAGUUAACAUAUGGAAGGCAUAUUUAAAGCCAUAAGAUUAGAUGAGAUCACCAAUAGAGAAAAAAGUCCAAGAGUUGAACCCUGUGGCCUUUCAGGAUUAGGACAUUCCAGGUUUAUUCAAAUCCUAGAGAAUAAUUUGUGCCAAGGGACAAAAAUCAGGACGCAGGAAUCUGCUGCCAAGUUCAAGGGCCAUAUUUGUUAGGAACAGAAACUAAGUAGAAAACCAAGGAUGCCUGGAAUGAAAUGAGCCAAGAAAAAAGGAUAAGAACCAAGCAAAACUUGCUGGAAAUUGCCUUGGAUUUAAUAUAGACCAUUGGUCAACAUGAAAACUGAAGAUAGUGUCUGAUCAUGACUUUGCAAAGUAACAGACGAAGUGAUCUUCAGGAGAGAAUAAGAUGAGGAAUUUAGGAAGUAUGAUAAGGCUUUUUCAUCAGACACUGCAGAUUGGGAGAAAAUGGAGCUGACCAUGGACAAGUUAUAAAUUUGCCUAGCAUUGAUAAAGUAUCAGCUGAGGCUGAAAACCACCAAUUUUAACAAAAAUCAGCAUAUUUCUUCAGUAUUGUGUGGUGCUUAUCUCCUUGGGAGCAGAAAGCAGAGACUGGAUUAAUCCAAAAUCAGGGAUAAACUGACCAGGAGGAGCAGAGGAAUAAUGGGCCAAGAGUACUGAGGAUGCAAGUAAAAGUGCUCAAAUUACUGUAUUGACCUUGUAAUCCCAAGCUGAUCGGGGAAGGAAAAAAAAAAAACAGGAGAGGGCUGGAAAAUUGUCACAGGUAAUGACAGAGGAUCAGAUGUGCUAUAGAAAUGUGCUGUUGAAAAUGGUAGACUAAGCCCCUCUCCAAUUAUACUGUGGAAUGAGCCGUAUAACAUGUUGUGAUUAUUGGUUUCUCCCUUCUGGACCUGGAGUGUCAGUUCUUCUAAAGCAGAGACUUCCCUUUAAUCUCUGUUUAAACUUGGUGCCUAGGACAAUGUAAUGGCAUCCAUAAAAUAUCUAAUGGAAUGGAGUUUAACAUGUUUUUUAGGGUGGAACUGGUGGUGUGAUUUAAAUUCUCCAAAAGAGAAAUGAGAAAAGUUGGAAGCUGUUGUGGCCUGACUUUAUACCCCCAAAAUUCAUAUUUUGAAUACCCCAAAAAGAAGUAUAAUUUAGUUGAAUCCAUGGACAUGAAACCCACAGAUAUAGAGGGUUGGCCCGGUGCAGUGGCUCACGCCUGUAAUCCCAGCACUUUGGGAGGCCAAGGCGGGUGGAUCACCUGAGGUCAGAAGCUUGAGACCAGCCUGGCCAACAUGGUAAAACCCCAUCUCUACUAAUAAUACAAAACAAUUUGCUGGGCAUGGUGGUGCACGCUUGUAAUCCAAGCUACUCCAGAGGCUGAGGCAGAAGAAUCGCUUGAAUCCGAGAGGCAAAGGUUGCAGUGAGCCCAGAUCACACCACUGCUCUCCAACCUGGGCAACAAGAGCAAAACUCCGUCAAAAAAAAAAGAUACAGGGUCAACUGUACACAUUAAACACUUCUAUCAACUAGUGAUGUCAGUCUUGUCCAUUGUAUUAUUGCCUAUCUUACUAAACAGUCAUAUUUCAGGAAGUACAAUAUACUCAAAAACUAAGUUAAUGUUCUUUGUAGAUUUAUGGUUAAUGGAUGAUUCAUAUAAUAGAAACUUAAAUUUAUUUGACCAUUCUAUUUAAUAUAGAAUAAAUACAACUAGCCAGGCAUGGUGGCUCAUGUCUAUAAUGCCAGCACUUGGGGAGGCCAAGGUGGGAGGCUCACUUGAGCAUAGGAAUUCAAGGCCAGCCUGGGCAACACAAUGUGAGACCCGUCUCUAUGAAAAUUUUAAAAAUUAGCCAAGCAUGGUAACACAAGUCUGUGGUCCCAGCUACUUGGGAGGCUGAGGCGCGAGAAGUCCAGGAGGUCAACGCUGCAGUGAGCUGUGUGUGUGCCACUGCAUCCUAGCCUGGGCAACAGAGCAAGACCCUGUCUCAAAAAUAAAGAAUAAAUACAACCUAUUAAGCUUGAGAGAUCCAGUGAAAUCCAAAUAAGAGAAACUGUGUCCUACACAGUUUUCUGUUAACCAUUUUCUUGGUAUUUAAAUUAUUUAUCAAAUUUUAACUUCAAUAAAAAAUUAUUCUGGAGAACACAUACCUCUAGAGUAAGUAAAGUAUACACUUUCAAUUUUUAGACAUGAGGUUUUGAGGUGUUUGACUGUAUCUAAUUUCCUAAAGGCUCUAUUUUUUAACCUACAAAAAUUAUAAAAAGAUAUAUAAAAGAUAUGAAAUGUAAAAAUAAGGAAGAUAUGAAGAUUAAAAUAACCUAUAAUCCCACCACUCAGAGGUAACUGUUAUACAAUUUUUGAUGUAUUAUUCUAUGCAGAUAUAAAUUUUAAUAAAAUUUGAAUUAUAUACAGUUUGUCAUCCUGAUUCCUUUCAUUUAAUAUUCUUUUUUAAAAAAUAUUUAUUUAUUUUAGACACAGGAUCUUGCUAUGUAACCCAGGCUGGCCUCGAACUCCAGUGUUCAAGCAAUUCUUGGCUUCAACCUCCCCAAUAAAUCGGACUACAGGCGAGGGCCACCACACCCAGCUCAUUUAAUUUCUAUCAUGACAAUUUUCAACAUUAUUAAAAAUUCUACUCAUUCUUUUCAUUGGCAAUAUUGAGAGCAUUUUUUUUUAUUCUUUUUUUUUUUUUUUUUUGAGACAGAGUCUCACUCUGUUGCCAGGCUGGAGUGCAGUGGCGCGAUCUCGGCUCACUGCAACCUGUACCUCCCGGGUUCAAGCAAUUCUCCUGUCUCAGCUUCCCGAGUAGCUGGGACUACAGGCACGCGCCACUAUGCCCAGCUAAUUUUUGUAUUUUUGGUAGAGACAGGGUUUCACUAUGUUGGCCAGGAUAGUCUCAAUCUUUUGACCUUGAGAUCUGCCUACCUUGGCCUCCCAAAGUGCUGGGAUUACAGGCAUGAGCCACUGUGCCUGGAUUAUUUUUUAAUUUUUUUUUUUUGAGACAGAGUCUCACUUGGUUGCCCAGGCUGCAGUGCGCACUACCAC
This 6324-nucleotide long non-coding RNA is filed under the name Homo sapiens (human). RNAcentral describes it as "HSALNT0335500". The record is from RNAcentral. Lineage: Eukaryota; Metazoa; Chordata; Mammalia; Primates; Hominidae.